Triticum dicoccoides is the source of this 282-nucleotide long non-coding RNA. RefSeq lists it as uncharacterized. NCBI's taxonomy places the organism in Eukaryota, Viridiplantae, Streptophyta, Magnoliopsida, Poales, Poaceae. The record is from RefSeq and is a predicted model, not a curated record. The transcript is spliced from 3 exons.
ACAAGGGCGUCAUGGCCAACCAUGGCGCAUGGUGCUCGCAAGCAACGAGCGGAGGUUGUUUGACAUCGGCACGGAGGAGGAGGACGGGCACGGACGGAGGACAGAGCACCUCUCUUCUUACAGGUUAGUGAGCAGCUUCAGGAGGAGCUCAAGCACGACCACCAAGAGGCACCACCGCAGCAACAGGGCGACUGUGGAAGGCAUGUUGUAUUUCUGUCAGCCCAGUCCUGACUAUGUCUGUCCGUGAGUCCAACAUUUGAUCGCUGUUGAAGGAGCUCAGAU